AGGUAAGCUACUAAGAGCGAAUGGUGGAUGCCUUGACUGGUAAAGGCGAUGAAGGACGUACUAGACUGCGAUAAGCUACGGGGAGCUGUCAAGAAGCUUUGAUCCGUAGAUUUCCGAAUGGGGCAACCCAAUGUAUAGAGAUAUACAUUACCUAUAUAGGAGCGAACGAGGGGAAUUGAAACAUCUUAGUACCCUCAGGAAAAGAAAUCAAUAGAGAUUGCGUCAGUAGCGGCGAGCGAAAGCGCAAGAGGGCAAACCCAGUGCUUGCACUGGGGGUUGUAGGACUGUAAUGUGCAAGAGGUAAGUUUAGCAGAACAUUCUGGAAAGUAUAACCAUAGAGGGUGAUAGUCCCGUAUGCGAAAAACAAACCUUAGCUAGCAGUAUCCUGAGUAGGGCGGGACACGAGGAAUCCUGUCUGAAUCCGGGUCGACCACGAUCCAACCCUAAAUACUAAUACCAGAUCGAUAGUGCACAAGUACCGUGAGGGAAAGGUGAAAAGAACUGAGGUGAUCAGAGUGAAAUAGAACCUGAAACCAUUUGCUUACAAUCAUUCAGAGCCCUAUGUAGCAAUACAGGGUGAUGGACUGCCUUUUGCAUAAUGAGCCUGCGAGUUGUGGUGUCUGGCAAGGUUAAGCAAACGCGAAGCCGUAGCGAAAGCGAGUCUGAAUAGGGCGCUUAGUCAGAUGCUGCAGACCCGAAACGAAGUGAUCUAUCCAUGAGCAAGUUGAAGCUAGUGUAAGAACUAGUGGAGGACUGAACCCAUAGGCGUUGAAAAGCCCCGGGAUGACUUGUGGAUAGGGGUGAAAGGCCAAUCAAACUUCGUGAUAGCUGGUUCUCUCCGAAAUAUAUUUAGGUAUAGCGUUGUGUCGUAAUAUAAGGGGGUAGAGCACUGAAUGGGCUAGGGCAUACACCAAUGUACCAAACCCUAUCAAACUCCGAAUACCUUAUAUGUAAUCACAGCAGUCAGGCGGCGAGUGAUAAAAUCCGUCGUCAAGAGGGAAACAACCCAGACUACCAGCUAAGGUCCCUAAGUCUUACUUAAGUGGAAAACGAUGUGAAGUUACUUAAACAACCAGGAGGUUGGCUUAGAAGCAGCCAUCCUUUAAAGAAAGCGUAAUAGCUCACUGGUCUAGUGAUUUUGCGCGGAAAAUAUAACGGGGCUAAAGU
This 1167-nucleotide ribosomal RNA is filed under the name Campylobacter jejuni. RNAcentral describes it as "partial 23S ribosomal RNA". It matches the Rfam family "Bacterial large subunit ribosomal RNA", at positions 1 to 1188 of the family's 2925-position model. Lineage: Bacteria; Pseudomonadati; Campylobacterota; Epsilonproteobacteria; Campylobacterales; Campylobacteraceae. The record is from RNAcentral.